CAAGUUAACAGUUUGUGUUCUGUGUUUUCUUUCUGUCCAGACUGUAGAGACUCCUCCGCUGCUAGGUUCACAUCGGAGCAAGAACUGAUCACAUGGUGCUGAAACACUUGGGUUGGAUCCUUAAAAAGCGUUUGCCUUGUGGAAAUAGAGCUGAUAGUGUGGCUUGUGUCCUGUGUGCUGACCUCAUGGUGUAAGCAGGUGUGAAGAUGAGUAUUAGCAGCGAUGAGGUCAACUU
Pimephales promelas (fathead minnow) is the source of this 235-nucleotide non-coding RNA. The record is from RefSeq and is a predicted model, not a curated record. NCBI's taxonomy places the organism in Eukaryota, Metazoa, Chordata, Actinopteri, Cypriniformes, Leuciscidae.